RNAcentral lists this ribosomal RNA (492 nucleotides) under uncultured bacterium. RNAcentral's name for it is "partial 16S ribosomal RNA". It matches the Rfam family "Bacterial small subunit ribosomal RNA", at positions 30 to 507 of the family's 1533-position model. The record is from RNAcentral.
AUUGAACGCUGGUGGCAUGCUUUACACAUGCAAGUCGAACGGUAACAGGCCUUCGGGUGCUGACGAGUGGCGCACGGGUGCGUAAUGCAUCGGAACGUGCCCAGAGGUGGGGGAUAACGCAGCGAAAGCUGUGCUAAUACCGCAUGUGAUCUGAGGAUGAAAGCGGGGGACCAAGCAGCAAUGUUUGGCCUCGCGCCUCUGGAGCGGCCGAUGUCAGAUUAGGUAGUUGGUGGGGUAAAGGCCUACCAAGCCGACGAUCUGUAGCUGGUCUGAGAGGACGACCAGCCACACUGGGACUGAGACACGGCCCAGACUCCUACGGGAGGCAGCAGUGGGGAAUUUUGGACAAUGGGCGCAAGCCUGAUCCAGCAAUGCCGCGUGCGGGAAGAAGGCCUUCGGGUUGUAAACCGCUUUUGUACGGAACGAAAAGGCUCUGGCUAAUACCUGGGGCUGAUGACGGUACCGUAAGAAUAAGCACCGGCUAACUACGUG